GAUGAACGCUGGCGGCGUGCCUAAUACAUGCAAGUCGAGCGAACAGACGAGGAGCUUGCUCCUCUGACGUUAGCGGCGGACGGGUGAGUAACACGUGGAUAACCUACCUAUAAGACUGGGAUAACUUCGGGAAACCGGAGCUAAUACCGGAUAAUAUAUUGAACCGCAUGGUUCAAUAGUGAAAGACGGUUUUGCUGUCACUUAUAGAUGGAUCCGCGCCGCAUUAGCUAGUUGGUAAGGUAACGGCUUACCAAGGCAACGAUGCGUAGCCGACCUGAGAGGGUGAUCGGCCACACUGGAACUGAGACACGGUCCAGACUCCUACGGGAGGCAGCAGUAGGGAGUAUUGGACAAUGGGCGAAAGCCUGAUCCAGCCAUGCCGCGUGUGUGAAGAAGGUCUUCGGAUUGUAAAGCACUUUAAGUUGGGAGGAAGGGCAGUAAGUUAAUACCUUGCUGUUUUGACGUUACCGACAGAAUAAGCACCGGCUAACUUCGUG
RNAcentral lists this ribosomal RNA (497 nucleotides) under uncultured bacterium. RNAcentral describes it as "partial 16S ribosomal RNA". It matches the Rfam family "Bacterial small subunit ribosomal RNA", at positions 28 to 507 of the family's 1533-position model. The record is from RNAcentral.